This 29-nucleotide non-coding RNA is filed under the name Mus musculus (house mouse). Lineage: Eukaryota; Metazoa; Chordata; Mammalia; Rodentia; Muridae. The record is from RNAcentral.
UCAAACUCACAAAAAGUCUCCCUGUCCUA